CCUACGGGAGGCAGCAGUGGGGAAUAUUGGACAAUGGGCGCAAGCCUGAUCCAGCCAUGCCGCGUGAGUGACGAAGGCCUUAGGGUUGUAAAGCUCUUUUGGCGGGGACGAUAAUGACGGUACCCGCAGAAUAAGCUCCGGCUAACUUCGUGCCAGCAGCCGCGGUAAUACGAAGGGAGCUAGCGUUGUUCGGAAUCACUGGGCGUAAAGCGCACGUAGGCGGACUUGCCAGUCAGGGGUGAAAUCCCGGGGCUCAACCUCGGAACUGCCUCUGAUACAGCAAGUCUUGAGUCCGGAAGAGGUGGGUGGAAUUCCUAGUGUAGAGGUGAAAUUCGUAGAUAUUAGGAAGAACACCGGUGGCGAAGGCGGCCCACUGGUCCGGUACUGACGCUGAGGUGCGAAAGCGUGGGGAGCAAACAGGAUUAGAUACCCGAGUAGU
Molecule: ribosomal RNA, 439 nt
Filed under: uncultured Hyphomicrobium sp.
Lineage: Bacteria; Pseudomonadati; Pseudomonadota; Alphaproteobacteria; Hyphomicrobiales; Hyphomicrobiaceae
Description: bacterial SSU rRNA
Rfam family: Bacterial small subunit ribosomal RNA
Source: RNAcentral